GAUGAACGCUGGCGGCGUGCCUAAUACAUGCCAGUCGAGCGAACAGAUGAGGAGCUUGCUCCUCUGACGUUAGCGGCGGACGGGUGAGUAACACGUGGAUAACCUACCUAUAAGACUGGGAUAACUUCGGGAAACCGGAGCUAAUACCGGAUAAUAUAUUGAACCGCAUGGUUCAAUAGUGAAAGACGGUUUUGCUGUCACUUAUAGAUGGAUCCGCGCCGCAUUAGCUAGUUGGUAAGGUAACGGCUUACCAAGGCAACGAUGCGUAGCCGACCUGAGAGGGUGAUCGGCCACACUGGAACUGAGACACGGUCCAGACUCCUACGGGAGGCAGCAGUAGGGAAUCUUCCGCAAUGGGCGAAAGCCUGACGGAGCAACGCCGCGUGAGUGAUGAAGGUCUUCGGAUCGUAAAACUCUGUUAUUAGGGAAGAACAAAUGUGUAAGUAACUAUGCACGUCUUGACGGUACCUAAUCGGAAAGCCACGGCUAACUACGUG
This 497-nucleotide ribosomal RNA is filed under the name uncultured bacterium. RNAcentral describes it as "partial 16S ribosomal RNA". It matches the Rfam family "Bacterial small subunit ribosomal RNA", at positions 28 to 507 of the family's 1533-position model. The record is from RNAcentral.